Molecule: ribosomal RNA, 433 nt
Filed under: uncultured bacterium
Lineage: Bacteria
Description: bacterial SSU rRNA
Rfam family: Bacterial small subunit ribosomal RNA
Source: RNAcentral
UCGAGGAUCUUCGGCAAUGGGCGCAAGCCUGACCGAGCGACGCCGCGUGUGCGAUGAAGGCCUUCGGGUUGUAAAGCACUGUCGAGGGGGAGGAAAGCCGCAAGGCCUGACCUAUCCCUGGAGGAAGCACGGGCUAAGUUCGUGCCAGCAGCCGCGGUAAGACGAACCGUGCGAACGUUGUUCGGAAUCACUGGGCUUAAAGGGCGCGUAGGCGGGCUCCCAAGUCCGGGGUGAAAUCUUUCGGCCUAACCGGAAAAGUGCCUUGGAUACUGGGAGCCUCGAGGGAGGUAGGGGCGGAUGGAACUUCCGGUGGAGCGGUGAAAUGCGUUGAUAUCGGAAGGAACGCCGGUGGCGAAAGCGAUCCGCUGGACCUCUACUGACGCUGAGGCGCGAAAGCCAGGGGAGCAAACGGGAUUAGAUACCCCCGUAGUCC